This is a non-coding RNA of Cricetulus griseus (Chinese hamster), 2930 nucleotides long. NCBI's taxonomy places the organism in Eukaryota, Metazoa, Chordata, Mammalia, Rodentia, Cricetidae. The record is from RefSeq and is a predicted model, not a curated record.
GCCACGGGAUAGGCAGAGAUCAAAGGAAUGGAAAUUACCCAGCGCCUGUGAAGUAAUUUACAUCUUGGUGUCUUCAGGCACCUAUUAUUGUAAUGGAUAAUGUAGGAACCGGCUUCCUACAACUCAGGUUUCAUUACAAAUGCUAGCUCGUCUCAGAAUCCCUUAAUUCUUUCUGAAUAGACUAUUUCAGCCCUUCUCGUCUAUGCAACAGUGAACACAAUUUAUUAAUCUUUAAAAUGUUAGCUCCACAAGAUCAGGAACCUAGUCUACCUCAAGUUCCAUAUGCCAGCCCCUUGCCCACAUAGUGCAGCUAAAUGGGACCUUAAGUCCCGAGUCAUAAGUGUCACAUUCUCGUGAAGCAAGAGUACCAGAAUUAAUAUUGAUCAGAUGCACCUAUUUCAGUUCAAGUGUUCGAGGAAUGUCAUUUGGUACUGACAUUUAUGUUGUACUGCAAUAAGAAGCCGCCAUAGAGGAAGAGCAUUCCAGGCAAAGAGUUUCUGAAAUGGGGAAUUGAGCAGCUCAGGAUUUAUGAAGUAUAAUUGCUUACAUCCAUAUCAAAUUCAGCAGAGGAAACUUGCUACACACUCCCUCUGUCUCCCACCAGGCCUCUCAGAGAUCUCUGAAGAAAGUCACUGAUUGAAAACUUACAUUCCGUGUGAUGAAUGUUCACUGUGAUGUGGGCUUUGUCACCUCUAACCAGAGUGAGGCAAACAACUGUUUCCUAAGUUGGCAUGGAAGAGUUUUUAAACGACAGUGAUUUUCAAUUACUUUUGUCACAAGUUGAACGAGAACCAGUGACCUAAAGGUGAACAAAUUCUCCGAACAGCAGGGUUUCUCUCUUAGAACGAACCAAUUUUCCUGGUUCUAAAAUGGCGAUUUUUAUUUCACUCAGUUACACUCUUCCUUAUGCCUUUAUAUUAUCUGUGGCGGGUGUUUUGUGUCAGAACUAUCCAGUACCUUUGGAUUUUCCCUUGAAAUUUCUGCAAACAUUUUAACCACAAAAUACUGUGAGAGUGGAUGGAGAGUUGAGCUUCCCACUACGGAGUUACCCUGAGAGGGGGGCACACUGAUGGCUCAGACUGAUAGCUGGUGGUGCAGUCACCCUUCAUCCCAGACACUGCUCACAAGUGCCUCCUUGCCUUUGUGUAAGAUCUUCAGAAAGCCUAUGGGGAAAAAUGCAGGCAUAGAAAGCCUGCAUAAGAUACUGUACUUAAGAGAGGUCUGUGUUUGAACACAGAUAGAAUUUUUGUCCAGCUGAUGGUCUUCAGAACUAUUUUAUGCUGGCUUCCAUGGGAAAGGGGGAACUUUAUGCUGGCUUCCAUGGGAAAGGGGGAAUGUAGAAGGCAAUAUUGAGUGUUUUUUAAUCAUUUAAAUGAGAAUUUUAUUAAGCAUAAUUUUUAAGCACAGCUUACCUAGUAACAUUUGGGUGAUGCUCCCAUCUCUGGAAAAUCAUCCUGGAAGAAUGACACCUAUGAAAUGGGCUCAAUUCAAUGGGGAGAAUUUAUCAUGAGGAAGUUAAGACACAGAGCCCACAGGUGAAAGCUCAAUAUAGGGAACUUGGUACAGGAAUAAAAACAAACCCUGCAAACUGCUGACUUCCAAUGCGACAAUUCAAAUGAUUUCUUAGCUUGAUUUCUGUUUGGUUUUCCUGUCAUAAAACAUUGCCUAGUGGCAACUGGUAGAGGAAAGGGUUUAUUUCACUUGACAGUUAUAGUCCAUCAUGAAGGAAAGUUGAAAUAGGAAUGAACUCAAGGAAGGAACCUCAAGGCACAAACUGAAGCAGAGACCAUGGAGGAAUGCUGCUUCUUGGGCUGCUCUCCAAGGUUUGCUCACUUUGCUUUCUUGGAUAUCACAACAACUACAGCUCCAGGAUGAUACUUUUUACAGUGGGCUGGGACCCCCUACUACAUCAAUAAUUAAUCAAGAAAAUGCCAUCUUCUAGAGCAGUGGUUUUCAACCUUCCUAAUGUUGCAGCUCUUUAAUACAGUUCCUCGUGUCGUGGUGACCCCCAACCAUGCAAUUAUUUUCAUCAAUACUUCAUAACUGUAAUUUUGCUACAGUGAUGAAUCUUAAUGUAAAUAAUGGUGGAGAUAGAGGUUUGUCAAAAGAAGUUUGUGAAGAACCACUGUGCUUAAGGCAUUUUCUCAGUUGAGGUUCACUCUUCUAAUUACAUCUAGAUUUGUAUCAGUUUGACAAGAACCAAAUGGACACCAUUCUCCAAGAGGUCCAAGCAUAUCCUAAUAUCCAGAGCCUGUGGAGAUUCCCUUAUUUAUUUUAAAAUAACAAGUGGGUGUCACCAAGGGGAUGACAUCACUGAUGAUAAGGAGCCUUAGGUGACCAUACAGAAGAGCACAGAGAAGAUGCAGCAAUGUGACCGAUGGUAGUGAUUGCAAUUGCAGUGAUGCAUGCACAGAUCAAAAAUCCAGAAGGAGUGAAGAGUAACUUCUCCCCUGAAGCCUCCAGUGAAGAAGAGCACUGACAACAUUUUGAGUUCAGACUUUGGGCCAGAACUGCAAAAAAAUAAGUUUCGGUUGCUUCAAGCCACCUAAGGUAUGGCAAAGUUAUUUUGGUAGACUGUAAACUAACACAUCUCUUGAUGUCAGUCUUUAAAAUGAGUUUCAGUUACUUGCAAGACCACCAACCCAAACAACUCAUUAAUUUAGGAGAGCCAGGGGUGUCCUACCUUGGCUGUAUACUGUAUAUUUUUCUUUCUUUGUUUUGUUGCUCAGUGCUUAAGAACAAACCAAAGGCUUCACUAUACUAAGCAAAGAGUCUCUCACUAAGCAAUACUUCAGCAAAAACAUUGUAUUUCAUGCUACAUUAUUUAAUGCAAAAAAAAGAGACCUGAGUUAACUUUAAAAAGCAAUGUUUUGACUGUAUGCUAGAUAAAAACAAAAAGAACUGUAAAUAAAACUGUGCUGGAAUUGGUA